Molecule: non-coding RNA, 30 nt
Filed under: Homo sapiens (human)
Lineage: Eukaryota; Metazoa; Chordata; Mammalia; Primates; Hominidae
Source: RNAcentral
GAUCCUGGUGUCUGCUUAGGCCAUAUUUCA